This 165-nucleotide ribosomal RNA is filed under the name uncultured bacterium. RNAcentral's name for it is "partial 16S ribosomal RNA". It matches the Rfam family "Bacterial small subunit ribosomal RNA", at positions 338 to 519 of the family's 1533-position model. The record is from RNAcentral.
CCUAGGGGAGGCAGCAGUGAGGAAUAUUCCACAAUGGGGGAAACCCUGAUGGAGCGAUACCGCGUGCAGGAAGACGCUUUUCGGAGUGUAAACUCGCUUUUAACAGGGAAGAUUAUGACGGUACCUGUAGAAUAAGGACCGGCUAACUACGUGCCAGCAGCCGGG